UCCGAGUUGACCCCGGCAGUCUCCCGUGAGUCCCCGCCACUACGCGCUGGCAACACGGAACGAGGGUUGCGCUCGUUGCGGGACUUAACCCAACAUCUCACGACACGAGCUGACGACAACCAUGCACCACCUGUACGCAGCCCUUACGGACCCGACAUCUCUGCCGGAUUUCUGCGCAUGUCAAGCCUUGGUAAGGUUCUUCGCGUUGCGUCGAAUUAAGCCACAUGCUCCGCCGCUUGUGCGGGCCCCCGUCAAUUCCUUUGAGUUUUAGCCUUGCGGCCGUACUCCCCAGGCGGGGCGCUUAAUGCGUUAGCUGCGGCACGAAAGAAGUGGAAACUCCCCUCACACCUAGCGCCCAACGUUUACGGCGUGGACUAC
RNAcentral lists this unclassified non-coding RNA (378 nucleotides) under uncultured Frankiales bacterium. RNAcentral describes it as "contains 16S-23S intergenic spacer region". Lineage: Bacteria; Bacillati; Actinomycetota; Actinomycetes; Frankiales. The record is from RNAcentral.